RNAcentral lists this ribosomal RNA (519 nucleotides) under uncultured bacterium. Its description in RNAcentral is "bacterial SSU rRNA". It matches the Rfam family "Bacterial small subunit ribosomal RNA", at positions 8 to 518 of the family's 1533-position model. The record is from RNAcentral.
AGAGUUGAUCAUGGCUCAGAACGAACGCUGGCGGCGCGUCUAAGCAUGCAAGUCGAACGGCAAGAGGUAGCAAUACCUCCUAGAGUGGCGGACUGGUGAGUAACACGUGGGUGACAUACCCUUCAGAUGGGGAUAGCUAUUAGAAAUAGUAGAUAAUACCGAAUACGAGCACAGGGGUUAGAGAUCUGUGAGGAAAGGAGCUAAGGCUCCGCUGAAGGAAUGGCCUGCGGCCCAUUAGCUAGUUGGUGAGGUAAGAGCCCACCAAGGCGAUGAUGGGUAUCCGGCCUUAGAGGGUGAACGGACACAUUGGGACUGAGAUACGGCCCAGACUCCUACGGGAGGCAGCAGCUAAGAAUAUUCCGCAAUGGACGAAAGUCUGACGGAGCGACGCCGCGUGGAUGAAGAAGGCCGGAAGGUUGUAAAAUCCUUUUGAAACUGAAGAAUAAGCGUUGUAGGGAAUGACAGCGUGGUGACAGUAGGUUUUGAAUAAGCAACGGCUAAUUACGUGCCAGCCGCCGC